AAUACAUCGUUACCAAACAUGGAUUGGAUACUGAAAUUUUUUAAGACAUGCCAUCUCCCAUAGUUAGCCAUAACGAGCUACGACGUCUUUUUUCGCUGCCAGUUAAUACUCAAAACAAAUUUUGUUUAACAGAUUGGCCCCUGGGCACGGCCAUGCUUGAUGACGUCACACCAAGUUAUGACUGGUCAAGUGGGUGUUAGAAGCUGACGACCUGUGAUGCCCCAGCCUCCUCGGCGCUGUUACACCUAUUUAAAGUACAUGAUGACACCGCCGAUGGGUAUUCUGCCCAAGGAGAGAGUGUACAGGGAUCCACUGGAGCCUUUGUAUUCUGUGUAACUUAUUUUCAACCUUCACCUACAACACCACAUCUCAAAGGACUCUUGCAAGGGGGGAAAUGUUUGUUGUUGACUACAGUACAGUACAGGACCUUCUUCCAUGUUCCUUCAACAUAGUAAAUGAAGAAUGCUUCAAGUAUGAGAAUUGGGAGGACAAAGAAGCUCCCCAAUUGUUGUGUACUCUCACUCAAUGCAAACCUCUUCAAUCUCCACUGUGCUGCAAAUAAUGUCAGUACUGCUGGGCCUCCCUCAUUGUAUAUUUAUUACUCUGUAUACACAGCCACACACUGGACGGUAAUUUACAUGGCUGCUGAAGAGUUAUUAUUACCAGAGUACACUUACAUUCACCCUGAAGUUUUCAUGAGUUUGUUAUGAUAAGAAUCAGCUCUUUCCUGGAACUGUUCCUUCCCUAAUAUUUCAUUUAGCAGCAUUAUAAUGCUAUUACAGGUUGGACCUCGUUAAUCCAGGACCCGAUAGUCCGGCAGCUUCAAUGGUUCGGGACAGGUAUCAGUAGGCCUAUAAUAUACAAUUUUCUCUUUGCUUUUUCUGCUAAUCUACUUAUUUCUGUGUCACAGUACAGUAAACUUGAGCUGAUGUAAGUUGUAUUUGUACCAGUAAUAAUACACUUUAUGCAUUAUUUUGCCUCUUUUUUUUUUAACCUUGGCUUCGAUGAUUCAGAAUUUUCACUAAUCCGGAACCAGUCUGGUCCCAAGCUUCCCGGAUUAGUGAGGUCCAACCUGUGCUGCACGUAAACAGCUAAGUUUUUUAAGCAUGUAACAAAAUGAGUAAAUACACUCCAGUACUUUACUUUCAAUACAAUGUCAACAUUUUAUUCCAUAUUAUAGGAAAUGGGAUCCUAAUGCUGUCACUAGAUACCCCUGUACAAUAUUACCUGAAGUAUCUGGUAGGUGUCUCAAGUUCAUAUAAAAUAAAUAAUACAAAGAGCUUACUAAAUCCUGAGGAAUUAAAAACAUUUCUUUAAAA
This is an RNA transcript of Homarus americanus (American lobster), 1319 nucleotides long. RefSeq lists it as uncharacterized. The record is from RefSeq and is a predicted model, not a curated record. Lineage: Eukaryota; Metazoa; Arthropoda; Malacostraca; Decapoda; Nephropidae. The transcript is spliced from 4 exons.